ACUCAAAGGAAUAGACGGGGGCCCGCACAAGCGGUGGAGCAUGUGGCUUAAUUCGAUGCAACGCGAAGAACCUUACCAGGGCUUGACAUGCACCUGCACGGUGGAGAAAUCCAUCAGCCUUCGAGGGUGGUGCACAGGUGGUGCAUGGCUGUCGUCAGCUCGUGUUGUGAAAUGUUGGGUUAAGUCCCGCAACGAGCGCAACCCUCAUGUUCUGUUACCAGCGAGUAAAGUCGGGGACUCGGAACAAACUGCCGCUGUAAAGCGGAGGAAGGUGGGGAUGACGUCAAGUCAUCAUGCCCCUUACGCCCUGGGCUGCACACAUGCUACAAUGGCCGGUACAAAGAGCUGCGAAGCCGCGAGGUGGAGCUAAUCUCAAAAAGCCGGUCUCAGUUCGGAUUGGAGUCUGCAACUCGACUCCAUGAAGUCGGAAUCGCUAGUAACCGCCGGUCAGCAAUACGGCGGUGAAUACGUUCCCGGGCCUUGCACACACCGCCCGU
Molecule: ribosomal RNA, 497 nt
Filed under: uncultured bacterium
Lineage: Bacteria
Description: partial 16S ribosomal RNA
Rfam family: Bacterial small subunit ribosomal RNA
Source: RNAcentral